CUACGGGAGGCAGCAGUGGGGAAUAUUGCACAAUGGGGGGAACCCUGAUGCAGCAACGCCGCGUGGAGGAUGACACAUUUCGGUGCGUAAACUCCUUUUAUAUAAGAAGAUAAUGACGGUAUUAUAUGAAUAAGCACCGGCUAACUCCGUGCCAGCAGCCGCGGUAAUACGGGGGGUGCAAGCGUUACUCGGAAUCACUGGGCGUAAAGAGCAUGUAGGCGGGUAGAAAAGUUGGAAGUGAAAUCCUAUGGCUUAACCAUAGAACUGCUUCCAAAACUCUUUACCUAGAAUAUGGGAGAGGUAGAUGGAAUUUCUGGUGUAGGGGUAAAAUCCGUAGAGAUCAGAAGGAAUACCGAUUGCGAAGGCGAUCUACUAGAACAUUAUUGACGCUGAGACGCGAAAGCGUGGGGAGCAAACAGGAUUAGAUACCCGUGUAGUC
RNAcentral lists this ribosomal RNA (439 nucleotides) under uncultured bacterium. RNAcentral's name for it is "partial 16S ribosomal RNA". It matches the Rfam family "Bacterial small subunit ribosomal RNA", at positions 339 to 795 of the family's 1533-position model. The record is from RNAcentral.